This 57-nucleotide ribosomal RNA is filed under the name uncultured bacterium. Its description in RNAcentral is "partial 16S ribosomal RNA". The record is from RNAcentral.
UGGGUUUGACAUGUAGAGAAAAGCUAUAGAGAUAUGGUGUCCUUUUGGGCUCUACAC